GGCCUAGUGGCCUAAUGGUUAAGGCGCCACAUUUCGGCUGUGGAGAUUGGGAGUUCGAGUCUUCCCUGGGUCG
This is a non-coding RNA of Sclerotinia borealis F-4128, 73 nucleotides long. The record is from the annotation of a GenBank genome assembly. Lineage: Eukaryota; Fungi; Ascomycota; Leotiomycetes; Helotiales; Sclerotiniaceae.